RNAcentral lists this ribosomal RNA (903 nucleotides) under Listeria monocytogenes. RNAcentral describes it as "partial 23S ribosomal RNA". It matches the Rfam family "Bacterial large subunit ribosomal RNA", at positions 447 to 1351 of the family's 2925-position model. The record is from RNAcentral. Lineage: Bacteria; Bacillati; Bacillota; Bacilli; Caryophanales; Listeriaceae.
GGAGGACCAUCUCCCAAGGCUAAAUACUCCCUAGUGACCGAUAGUGAACCAGUACCGUGAGGGAAAGGUGAAAAGCACCCCGGAAGGGGAGUGAAACAGUUCCUGAAACCGUGUGCCUACAAGUAGUUAGAGCCCGUUAAUGGGUGAUAGCGUGCCUUUUGUAGAAUGAACCGGCGAGUUACGAUUUGUUGCAAGGUUAAGCGGAAAAAGCGGAGCCGUAGCGAAAGCGAGUCUGAAUAGGGCGCAUAAGUAACAGGUCGUAGACCCGAAACCAGGUGAUCUACCCAUGUCCAGGAUGAAGGUAAGGUAAUACUUACUGGAGGUCCGAACCCACGCACGUUGAAAAGUGCGGGGAUGAGGUGUGGGUAGCGGAGAAAUUCCAAUCGAACUUGGAGAUAGCUGGUUCUCUCCGAAAUAGCUUUAGGGCUAGCCUCGAGGUAAAGAGUCAUGGAGGUAGAGCACUGUUUGGACUAGGGGCCCUUCUCGGGUUACCGAAUUCAGAUAAACUCCGAAUGCCAUGUACUUAUACUCGGGAGUCAGACUGCGAGUGAUAAGAUCCGUAGUCGAAAGGGAAACAGCCCAGACCACCAGUUAAGGUCCCCAAAUAUAUGUUAAGUGGAAAAGGAUGUGGGGUUGCUUAGACAACCAGGAUGUUGGCUUAGAAGCAGCCACCAUUGAAAGAGUGCGUAAUAGCUCACUGGUCGAGUGACCCCGCGCCGAAAAUGUACCGGGGCUAAACAUAUUACCGAAACUGUGGAUGAACCUCUUUAGAGGUUCGUGGUAGGAGAGCGUUCUAAGGGCGGUGAAGUCAGACCGGAAGGACUGGUGGAGCGCUUAGAAGUGAGAAUGCCGGUAUGAGUAGCGAAAGAAGGGUGAGAAUCCCUUCCACCGAAUAUCUAAGGU